This 67-nucleotide transfer RNA is filed under the name Ilisha sirishai (lobejaw ilisha). RNAcentral describes it as "tRNA-Cys". It matches the Rfam family "tRNA". Rfam says of the family: Transfer RNA (tRNA) molecules are approximately 80 nucleotides in length. Lineage: Eukaryota; Metazoa; Chordata; Actinopteri; Clupeiformes; Pristigasteridae. The record is from RNAcentral.
AGCUCUGUAGUGAAGUUCAUAUUAGAUUGCAAAUCUGAAGACGCAGAUUAAACGUCUGCCGGGGCUU